This 5356-nucleotide unclassified non-coding RNA is filed under the name Leishmania donovani. RNAcentral describes it as "gene:LdHU3.24.1390(CDS-product:DNA-directed_RNA_p olymerase_mitochondrial)". The record is from RNAcentral. Lineage: Eukaryota; Euglenozoa; Kinetoplastea; Trypanosomatida; Trypanosomatidae.
UCUGUCUGCGCCUCCCGGUCACUGCCAACAGCACCACCACCUACCACCAACACCGGCAGCGCGCAACUGCGGCCUCCCCUCCCCUCCCUCUUCCAGUGCUUACUCUCACAGACAUAGACUCGCACGGGCACAGGAGGCACCUCGCAAAACCUCCUUUCGCUCUCUGUAUCUGGAGGGAGGGGCAGAGCAAGGCAUGCGCCGCAGCGCGGUACUUAGAAAGGCGCUUCCGCCUCUCCGCCUCUCGACAAGCGGGAGAGUGGACGAGGAGGCGCAGCCAGCCACCCAGCCUUUCGCGGCGUCUUGGCAUACGUGCACCAGGAAUGGCAUUCCAGUUCGCUGCUUCUGCGAGGUGGACUUUGGCACCAGACUCACCUCCCCACUCUCAUCCGCCGUGACAGGGGCGAUGGCGUUACUGUGCGGCAACAUCGCUACCGCCAGCCGCCCUUCCGGAACGCUGACGUGUGCCAUGCGGUAUUACACGGCGCCCUCGGCUGAGGAGUCUGUCUGCGAUGUUGACGCAAAGACGGACACUCUCACCGACGCUGGCUCAGCUGAAGCGCGCGCUGAGCGUCCGGUAGGAACGAAGACGUCCUCGAAGAGGACCACGGUUACAUCGAGCCAAGCAUCCAUAACGAGGCCACCGAUCCCGGCGCCACUCACCUCCAGCAGCAGUAGCCCCUCUGCUCCGCCGCUGCGAGACACUCAGCAGACUGAACGCCUAAAGGCUACCCCCCAGCCUUCUGCGCACGAAACCAAGGUGGCAGGUGGAGAGGGCGGCAGUGAUGUGGUCGUCGGCAGAACCGAUGCAGAUGUGUACGAAGGAGGAAGUCGCCUCGUGAAGGGCGAGGCAGGAAACGCCGCCGCAGCGGCAGGCGCGGAUGACGAGGAUGACGACAGUAUCACCUUCUCUGAGGCGGCCUCGGUCGCGGACCUCUUUGAGAUAGAUGAGGUGAAGCUGAGUGCAGCGGGGGCGGAUUCCGCAAGAGCUACCGAAGGCGCGCACCAGCACGCUGGCGACCAUUCCGGUGUGUCUGGUGCCACGGGCCGCAGAGGUACUCUAUCCGCCUUUGCACUGCCCGCCGACCACAGCCGAAGCGGCAGUGGAAGCACUGCCGCCGGAAUCGAGGACACGCUCUUGAGCGAUCCGUUUCACGUGCCGAGCGUGGACGACGACGCGUUCGCACGGGACGGGGACCUGCCGGCCUCAGCGGUGGCGAGCUACAGUGCCGUCUCGAGCCCGCAAAACCUCAACGAGAACGUGCUCUCCGCCGUUGACGUGCUGUGCGACGAUUUGUUUCACUGCAAAACGUCUGUCCUGCGCUCCUUCGCCCGCACGCGCUCCAUUUCCGCUCAUAAAAAGGUAGAGGUGGUGCUGCGCCUCCUCGAAAAGGCCCACCACGAUGCCCAUGGCGAGAGCAACGACCUCAGCGUCACGCGUCGCCUGCUAGGCGACGUCUUCGAUGAAAACGUUCGCACAAGCGGGCUCCGCAUGGCGUGGACGAACAAGUCGCUGGAGGCGGCGCACAUCGAAGAGGCGUGCGAGUCCCACCUUAGUUUUGACUUGCUCGCGAACUCGACGAAGGCGCUCAUGGUGCGGCGGCACGCGGGCGAAAUCUCGCGUGUGCUGCGCAAGCUCACCCGAGUGUUUCAGCAAGAGCAAGAGCAGAUCUCCCUCGCCGCAGUGGGUGGCGUGUUCCGCAAUUACCGCGCCGCCGCCGACGAGCUGGUGCGGGAGCUGCCGGUGUGCGAGCUGCUCAGCCCCUUUGCGGGCUACCUGGUCAGCUAUGUACGCUACGGCGCCGCGAAGGAGACGCUGACGCGGGCUGAUGUGAACGAGCGCCUUGUCCAGCUGGGUGUGGUUCAACCCACUGUCCAGGAGGCAGACGACAGCGCCCUGCUGCACCGCCUCAUGGGCCUCCUCGACCCCGCUGUGCAGCAGGUCGAGCGGCGGGCAGAGUGCUUUCGCCACGCGGAGCAGCCCCGAGUGGUCGGGAUGGAGAACAGCGACGUUAUCGCGAGCACCAUCCGCGCCUUCAGCGAAGUGUCCCACACUAAGUGGAACACGCAGGCAGCACCGGACUGGGUGCACGACCUCGCGCGACUCUUCUGCAACUGGGAAGCGAUCCUCCGCACCGACCUGCCACGGUUCGAGGAGGUGCCGCGGCACUUCUUUGACUGCAUCCUCUCUGGCGUGGUCUGCCUCUACAUUGCCCAGCGCGUGUAUGGCAACUCGGUGGGAGCGACUGUCGUGCCGCUGUACCAGCGACUGGCCGUAAAGAAGUCACUGCGGCUGCACUUCAACAACGACGAUAACACGGAGAGCGCGUUGCGCGACAUCAUGUCCUACGUGCAGGCCGGCGUGACGGAGGUCCGCGGCGGCGUGCGAGGCGAGUUUUUCGCCGGUGUUCUCUCGCAAAUGCAAGGCGCCUUCCAGGAUGCGCAGGAGGAGCGGUCGGCCCUGCAUGAUGAGCGCGUCGCCGUCAUCUUGAACGCCGUCUGCGAUAUGGGGACGAACUGCACUCGCUCCGCCGGUCUCUUCAACCUCCUCGUGAAGAUCACCGAGGACCUCGCUUUCCACUUCCGCUUCCAGCGCAUUUACAAACGGCUGAGCGCGCCCGACCGCGCCACCAUCCGCACGAACGGGAGCAUUCGCAUGUCGCAGACGCUGGAGUACUUCGAGAAGGAGUUGCACGUGACGCCCAUCUCCACGAAGGCGGUCGGCUUCCUGGUGGUGCAGCUGCUCUAUCUGUCGUUUCGCGGCGAUGGCAGCAAGCGGCCGGUGCUCGAGCGCUUUGCGAGCGUGACCGGGGCAACGGAGCUGGACAUAGUUGGGCUCACCGAGAUGGCGGCUACGUCAGUGCGCGACCUGCACGUCGCCUUUCCCCCGCAGCUCUCCUACAACUCGUGGCUCAAUGAGUCCGACACCCGUGAAAAGUCUGUGUACGGCGUGUUGCCGUCCGUGGCGGUGAAAGGGUCGGCGAAUCAAGCGAUGAUUGUGUCGCAGGCGCCGAUGUUGAAGGCGCUCGACGCCAUCUCGCGUGUGCCAUGGCGCAUAAACAAGUACAUGCUGCACGUGCAGGAGGCUAUUGUGCGCGAGGGAUUUGGGUUUGGCAAGAUUCGGCCCGGCUUCUACCCUCUUCACUACUACUAUAUGAGCGACGGCGAAGUCAGGUACCCUUCAGAUCGCCGCCGCUCGGCGUUGCUGAACGACAAUGACGACGACGACGGCGACGACCUCGCUGCCGGUGACGUGUUCAAUCUGCUGCAGCGGCGGCAGUGCAUCCUGCAGCAGAAGCAAGACUGGAAGGAGCUGAGCGAGCUGCGCAGCAGCCGUAUUCAUUACCUGCUUGGACUGCGCCAGGCCCGCUCCAUCGUGCAGUUCUCGCACAUCUAUUUCCCCAAUAGCAUGGAUUUUCGCGGUCGCAUGUACCCGCUCCCGGGGCGGCUGAACCACACCGGGUCAGACCCGUUCCGUGGCCUGCUCGAGUACGCGGAGCCGAAGCCUCUGGGUGCGGUAGGGCUGUACUGGCUGAAGGUGCAUCUGGCAAACAAGAUGGGCAUGAGCAAGCUAUCCUUUGACGAGCGGGUGCACUACGUCGACGAGCACAUGGAGGACGUCGUGCAGAGCGCCGAGAGCCCCCUGGUCGGCGAUCGAUGGUGGCAGGAGGCGAGCGAACCGAUUCAGUGCCUCAUGGCGUGCAAGGAGGUGGCGGACGCGAUGAAGUGCUCGCAGGGCCCAGAGAAGUUCCUAUCGCGGCUACCCGUCGCGGUGGAUGGCAGCUACAAUGGUCUGCAGCACUACUCCGCCAUUGGUCGCGACGCGUUUGGCGCGAAACUGGUGAACUUGGUGCCGAGCGAGCGCCCUGCCGACGCCUACACGGGCAUCCUGAAGGAGAUGCUCAAGUCCAUAUGCAUCGACGCCGGCCGCGAUCACCAGGUGGCGCAGCGGUGCCUCGGCACCGGCAGAGGCCAGGACAAGGAUCACAUCAAGCGCAAGACGAUCAAGCGCCCCAUCAUGACACAGGUGUACGGUGUCACUAGCUACGGCAUGUCAGAGCAGAUCUUUGAUGAGCUGGUGAAGCAGAACAAGAGCCACGGACUUUGGACGCACACGGACAUGAAAGAGAUGGCGGCGUACCUGCGUGACAAGGUGCUGGAGUCGCUCGGCAUUACGUUCCGCGAAACCCAAAACUGCCGCAAGUGGAUUAGUGAGGUGACCACGCUGCUCUGGAAAGUGCAGCCGGCCGAGCUGCGCAACGCGCUGUGCUGGACUACCCCGCUCGGCCUUGUGGUUCGGCAGCCCUACAAGGUUCGGAACGAGUGCUCCCUGUUUACGCCCCACGGCUACAGCCGGGUACCUGGCGACUCCGUCGCCCCUGCGAGCCGCAAGCAGCUGACAGCCAUUGCGCCGAAUCUGAUUCACUCGCUUGAUGCGACGCAUCUCGCCAUGACUGCGCUGGAGAUGCAGCAUCAGGGGCUAUCCAUGAUGGCGGUGCACGACUCUUACUGGACGUACGCGUGCGACAUGCCGAAGUUGUCGCAGGUGUUGCGAGAGCAGUUCGUGAACCUGUACUCCAAGUACGACCCCUUGUGGGAGCUGAAGGAGCAGUGGGAGGAGACGUACUUCAUGGACCUGCGGCGGCACGGCGUGAAGCUGCCAGACCCGCCCAAGCGCGGUGAUCUGGACCUGAAUGUGGUCCUCAACUCACCAUACUUUUUCUCGUAGGCGUCACUAACGCGUGUGUGUCCGUCUGCUCUGCUUCUCGUGCGCGAGUGUGGUCCGCUGAUGUGCCAUGUCCCUGUUAUGCUUUGUGUAUGUGUGUGUGUGUGUGUGGCCCCCUCCCUUCUCCUCCAGCCACUUCAGCCUCUCGCCUUCCCGGUGCGCACUGCAGAGCCUCAGAAUGAUACAGAAGGCACAGCGCGAAAGGAGACACGCACGGGUCGAGAUAGGCAGUGUGAGGCAGGUUGGAGGGUGAUGGGCAGGUGGUAUGGCGAGAGGUCAGCAUCCGCUUGACAGCAUCGGUACUGUCCUAUGGAGGAAGCGCACACGAGCCCCGUUACGUGGCACGUGCCCUUUCAACCUCUCCUUGUUUUUUUCUUUACUUCAUGUCUACCCCCCCCCUUUCUCGCGUAGCGACGGGGCGUGAAGGUGAUGGCUGGCUGAGCACUGUCAUGGUCGUCAUUGUCGCCGCCGCCGCUAUCUUCUUCACAAGCUUAAGGUUUGUUUGGAGUUUGUCGUCGCUCUCUCUCUUGCUGUGGCUGUGAAGGCCCUCUGUUCCCGGCCGUGUUGUUGUCUGGGUCUUCAUGUGUUUCUGUGUCGCUCUAGAGUCCUCCUUCUGCGCCGGCUAGUUGAUCG